AUAUCAAUAAGCGGAGGAAGAGAAACCAACAGGGAUGCCCCUAGUAGCGGCGAGYGAAAAGGGUAGAGCUCAAGCCUAAAAUCKCGCUUCGCGAGUUGUGGUUUUCGCGUGGUCCCGAGCGCCGUCCGGGGGCAAGUGACUUUGGAAGUUGCUGCCGGAGAGGGUGAGAGCCCCGUCCCCCCGGAUGCCGGCGCACCGUUCGGGCCUCGUCGAGGAGUCGGAUUGCUUGAKAUCGCAAUCCCAAGUCGGUGGUGAAUCCCAUCCAAAGCUAAACACGUGCGCGAGGCCGAUAGAGAACAAGUACCGUGAGGGAAAGUUGAAAAGAACUCUGAAGAGAGAGUGCAAAGUAUAUGAAAUCGUUGCCGUGGAACGGUGCUCGUGUGCGCUCGAGAACCUCGGGUCGCGGCCGCGUAGGGACGGCAGUCCGCCCCCCCGCCGCGGCCGUGGCCCUGGA
This 454-nucleotide ribosomal RNA is filed under the name Derbesia marina. RNAcentral describes it as "partial 28S ribosomal RNA". It matches the Rfam family "Eukaryotic large subunit ribosomal RNA", at positions 40 to 472 of the family's 3401-position model. The record is from RNAcentral. Lineage: Eukaryota; Viridiplantae; Chlorophyta; Ulvophyceae; Bryopsidales; Derbesiaceae.